AUGAAGCUAGUCCAACUCCCAAAGACCCUGAGAAUCACGGCGGCGAGGGCCAGCCCCAACCAGAGUGUGCGUGUGACGGUCCUGGACAGAACAAGAGUCAACGUCAAGGAUGACGCGACAACCAGAAUCGGUAAGUUGACCAGCAGAAAACAGAUUCAUGGUAAGUCGAGGGACAUGAGCAACAUCAGGAACAGAAUAAGAAGGAGUGGUAAGAUUGCCCCUACUAGCAACAGAAAGUGGAGUACCAUCAGCAGUGAAGACAUGAACAGGAGAAUCCAGCAAUCGAAGAGAGGACAAAGUGGAAGAAUGAGAAGACAUAUGAAAAGAAGCUCCAGAGUCCAGAACCCAUGGGGAUGUACCUGA
RNAcentral lists this ribosomal RNA (363 nucleotides) under Triticum aestivum (bread wheat). RNAcentral describes it as "partial small subunit ribosomal RNA". The record is from RNAcentral. Lineage: Eukaryota; Viridiplantae; Streptophyta; Magnoliopsida; Poales; Poaceae.